GACGAACGCUGGCGGCGUGCUUAACACAUGCAAGUCGAACGAAGAGCGAUGGAAGCUUGCUUCUAUCAAUCUUAGUGGCGAACGGGUGAGUAACGCGUAAUCAACCUGCCCUUCAGAGGGGGACAACAGUUGGAAACGACUGCUAAUACCGCAUACGAUCUAAUCUCGGCAUCGAGGAUGGAUGAAAGGUGGCCUCUAUUUAUAAGCUAUCACUGAAGGAGGGGAUUGCGUCUGAUUAGCUAGUUGGAGGGGUAACGGCCCACCAAGGCGAUGAUCAGUAGCCGGUCUGAGAGGAUGAACGGCCACAUUGGGACUGAGACACGGCCCAGACUCCUACGGGAGGCAGCAGUGGGGAAUCUUCCGCAAUGGACGAAAGUCUGACGGAGCAACGCCGCGUGAGUGAUGACGGCCUUCGGGUUGUAAAGCUCUGUUAAUCGGGACGAAAGGCCUUCCUGCGAAUAGUAGAAGGA
Molecule: ribosomal RNA, 470 nt
Filed under: Veillonella dispar
Lineage: Bacteria; Bacillati; Bacillota; Negativicutes; Veillonellales; Veillonellaceae
Description: bacterial SSU rRNA
Rfam family: Bacterial small subunit ribosomal RNA
Source: RNAcentral